UAAUACGUAGGGGGCAAGCGUUGUCCGGAUUUAUUGGGCGUAAAGAGCGUGUAGGCGGCUUUACAGGUCCGUUGUGAAAACUCGAGGCUCAACCUCGAGACGCCGGUGGAAACCGUAAAGCUAGAGUCCGGUAGGGGAGACUGGAAUUCCUGGUGUAGCGGUGAAAUGCGCAGAUAUCAGGAAGAACACCGGUGGCGAAGG
RNAcentral lists this ribosomal RNA (201 nucleotides) under uncultured bacterium. RNAcentral's name for it is "partial 16S ribosomal RNA". It matches the Rfam family "Bacterial small subunit ribosomal RNA", at positions 521 to 721 of the family's 1533-position model. The record is from RNAcentral.